UCCCUGAUGGUCCAGUGGUUAGGAUGCAGAGCUUUUACCACCCGCGGCCUGGGUUCGAUUCCCGGUCAGGGAA
Non-coding RNA from Syngnathus acus (greater pipefish), 73 nucleotides. The record is from the annotation of a RefSeq genome assembly. NCBI's taxonomy places the organism in Eukaryota, Metazoa, Chordata, Actinopteri, Syngnathiformes, Syngnathidae.